CUAGUAGUAGAAAGUUUAGCUUUGGCUUAUAUGUGAUAUCUUAGCUUUCAAAAAUUCUUUUAUUUUGUAUAGAGGCUCAAAUUAUAAUAAAACCCUUCAACACAUUUUCUUCCCAUAAAGGAUAUUUUUACCUUGAACUUUAGAAAUUCAUAUCUCCUGAUCCAACCAUUCAAUUUUUUUCAAAUUUCUAUCUAACAUAGAUUCCAUUUUUAAUCUUUAUCACAAAAAAAAUGAAUCGUAAAUCUAUUAUCAAUCUUUUGGCAUAUUAAAAAUCCUAAAAGGUACUCUAAAUCCUAAUCUACAAAAACCACUUGAAUACUAUUUUCUUCAUAUUUCAAAAACCUAAAAUCAAAAUGCCACAAAAUUUGUGCAUAAAGCUUACUAACAUGAUUACACACAUUUUAGAAAAUUUUGAAUCAAAAUCUUCUCAAAUUACUUAAGAUAUAGCUCAAAAUACAACCACUAGUAAAUCGGAUCACUUGCUACCUUUAGAUUUGAAGUACUAACUUCAACUUCCAAUAUCUCUUUCAUUCUAACUUAAAAUCCAUCAAAUAGUAUGUCAAAAGUACAAUCAAAAAAAUGUUCUUUCCAACCCGAAUCAUUGAUCCUUUAUUGCUUUGUGUACAUGUGUGUUAUAUCCAAAAGAGUGAUAGUAGGUACAAAAUCAACAUCUUAACUUUGAUUGCCUAUAUUUCUUUCAUAUAAACUUUAAAGCACACAAAAUUUUUACCAAAACUAUAGCCAAAAACCUAAACUUGCUGACUUUAAUCUCUUAAUUAAAAAUUACCUUGAAAGAAUAACCCUAAUUCCUAAUGAUGUCUUGGAUAGCUUCCUUGAAGUCCAUUGGGCGUGAUUUUUUGAUAAUAGGAAUAGAAAUUUUCAUCAUCCAUCUCUAUUCAUCCAUUCAAAUGCUCUAACUCUUUUUGCUACCAAAACUCCUCUGCAAU
This 947-nucleotide long non-coding RNA is filed under the name Physcomitrium patens. RNAcentral describes it as "long non-coding RNA (PPAT_LNC009252)". Lineage: Eukaryota; Viridiplantae; Streptophyta; Bryopsida; Funariales; Funariaceae. The record is from RNAcentral.